Acanthosepion pharaonis is the source of this 109-nucleotide non-coding RNA. The record is from the annotation of a GenBank genome assembly. Lineage: Eukaryota; Metazoa; Mollusca; Cephalopoda; Sepiida; Sepiidae.
ACCAUAUCACAUUGAAACACUCUGUUCUCAUCUGAUCACCAAAGUUAAGCAACAUCGAGCUUGGUCAGUAUUUAGAUGGGUGACCACUUAGGAAUGCCGGGUGCUGUAA